UACGUAGGGUCCAAGCGUUGUCCGGAUUUAUUGGGCGUAAAGAGCUCGUAGGCGGUUCCGUAAGUCGGAUGUGAAAACUCAGGGCUCAACCCGGAGACGCCAUCUGAUACUGCGGUGACUGGAGUCUGGUAGGGGAUCACGGAAUACCUGGUGUAGCGGUGAAAUGCGCAGAUAUCAGGUGGAACACCGAUGGCGAAGGCAGUGAUCUGGGCCAGUACUGACGCUGAGGAGCGAAAGCGUGGGGAGCAAACAGG
RNAcentral lists this ribosomal RNA (254 nucleotides) under uncultured bacterium. RNAcentral describes it as "partial 16S ribosomal RNA". It matches the Rfam family "Bacterial small subunit ribosomal RNA", at positions 524 to 776 of the family's 1533-position model. The record is from RNAcentral.